UAGGGAAUCUUCCACAAUGGACGCAAGUCUGAUGGAGCAACGCCGCGUGAGUGAAGAAGGGUUUCGGCUCGUAAAGCUCUGCUGUUAAAGAAGAACGUGGGUAAGAGUAACUGUUUACCCAGUGACGGUAUUUAACCAGAAAGCCACGGCUAACUACGUGCCAA
RNAcentral lists this ribosomal RNA (164 nucleotides) under uncultured bacterium. RNAcentral describes it as "partial 16S ribosomal RNA". It matches the Rfam family "Bacterial small subunit ribosomal RNA", at positions 355 to 511 of the family's 1533-position model. The record is from RNAcentral.